RNAcentral lists this long non-coding RNA (481 nucleotides) under Cottoperca gobio. RNAcentral describes it as "lncRNA (ENSCGOG00000004245.1)". The record is from RNAcentral. Lineage: Eukaryota; Metazoa; Chordata; Actinopteri; Perciformes; Bovichtidae.
UUAUUGUUUCAUUGGUUGCACCUGUUCCUUGUUUGCUAGCCUUUAUAAGCUGCCUGUUUUCUUCUGUUCAUUGCUGAGUCUUGAUUUGUUGCCGGAGGCCAAGUUUCCUGUGUCUGUCUCUGCAUCUGAGCCUAUCACCCCUGGGUAGCACAGUGGUAGAGCGUCCCUACCACGCGGGAGACCCGGCUUCGAUUCCCAACAGAUCCUGUCAGCAAGACUCAGCCAUGGAACCAGGCUCAGCAGAGACAACUAACAGGCACCAGACCUGGACUCUGCUGUGGUGAAGCCUGACUACAAGAGGGGAUGAGACCAACAGGGCCACUCGUUCCAACGUCAGUGAAGAAACCAACAAAACCCAGUGGGCUAGAAGGGUUCUGAUUGAAGUUACUUAAUAAAGUUUCAAAAUAAUAAUAAAUACUAUUAUAUUCUUUUGUCGUUGUUUUUACCUUCAAUUGCCCUAAUACACCAUGUACCCAGGGAG